CGGGCCCCUCCAUGGGGUGCGCACGCGCCCCUUCCGAGAGGGACCUCAGGUCAGACAUGGCGACCGACUGAUUUUAAACAGAUUAGUCAGCGGAGGAGGAGAAACUAACCAGGAUUCCCUCAGUAACGGCCAGUGGACAGGGAAGAGCCCAGAGCCGAAUCCCCGCCCGGUGGUGGGGCGCGGGGAAGGUGGCUGGGGGGAGUCCCACCCC
Myotis brandtii (Brandt's bat) is the source of this 211-nucleotide long non-coding RNA. RefSeq lists it as uncharacterized. The transcript is spliced from 3 exons. Lineage: Eukaryota; Metazoa; Chordata; Mammalia; Chiroptera; Vespertilionidae. The record is from RefSeq and is a predicted model, not a curated record.